GACGAACGCUGGCGGCGUGCCUAAUACAUGCAAGUCGAACGCUGAAGGAGGAGCUUGCCCUUCUGGAUGAGUUGCGCACGGGUGAGUAACGCGUAGGUAACCUGCCUGUUAGCGGGGGAUAACUCUUGGAAACGAUAGCUAAUACCGCAUAACAGUAGAUGUUGCAUGACAUUUACUUAAAAGGUGCAAUUGCAUCACUACCAGAUGGACCUGCGUUGUAUUAGCUAGUUGGUGGGGUAACGGCUCAACAAGGCGACGAUACAUAGCCGACCUGAGAGGGUGGUCCGCCAAACUGGGACUGGGACACGGCCCAGGAUCCUAAGGGAAGGAGCAAUAGGGAAUCUUCGGCAAUGGACGGAAGGCUGACCGAGCAACGCCGCGUGAGUGAAGAAGGGUUUCGGAUCGGAAAGCUCUGUUGUAAGGGAAGAACGAGAGUGGGAGUGGAAAGUUCACACUGUGACGGUAUCUGACCAGAAAGGGACGGCUAACUACGUG
This 495-nucleotide ribosomal RNA is filed under the name uncultured bacterium. Its description in RNAcentral is "partial 16S ribosomal RNA". It matches the Rfam family "Bacterial small subunit ribosomal RNA", at positions 28 to 507 of the family's 1533-position model. The record is from RNAcentral.